UACUCACCCAUGAAAGAAAACGACCUUACUCACUUUUGAGUAAACACUAACAUAUUUGACUCACUUUGGAACUGUCAAAUACUUGUGAAAAUUUCGGCUUCCAAGUUUAGGAGUAAAUAUCGUUUGAAGCGAGAUCGGAGUUUUUGAAGGUAACCAAGUCCUGGUUUUGAUCGAACCGCAAGAAAAAAGUUUAUAUACAUCUUUCCGGAAAAGCUACUGGCUCGGGCAAACAUCCGGAUCAACAUCCAGCGAAUGAAUAUUCACCGGAAGAACAUUGAGUGGUAAAAUGCGCAGCAAAAUCGUUAAUUUUUGGUAUACACGGUCCGCAGUUUACUACGAACCUUUAGGUUUCUUCCCGCUGGAAGUUGCCGUGUGACGUCAUCGUAAAUUGAUCCCCCUCCGGGGAUCCAUUCCUGAGAAGCGAGAAAAAAAUGGACCCAAACAUCACAAUUGUAUUACUUGUAAUAUAAUGUACUAUUCAUUUAUUUAUGUAUGAG
This is a long non-coding RNA of Aedes aegypti (yellow fever mosquito), 497 nucleotides long. RefSeq lists it as uncharacterized. The record is from RefSeq and is a predicted model, not a curated record. The transcript has 3 exons. NCBI's taxonomy places the organism in Eukaryota, Metazoa, Arthropoda, Insecta, Diptera, Culicidae.